Molecule: long non-coding RNA, 1089 nt
Filed under: Phascolarctos cinereus (koala)
Lineage: Eukaryota; Metazoa; Chordata; Mammalia; Diprotodontia; Phascolarctidae
Description: lncRNA (ENSPCIG00000013984.2)
Source: RNAcentral
CCGAGAGUUUUAGUGAACAUGUUAAAUUUUAUACGAAGGACGGAGAAGGUGUCAAACGAGGUGCUAGUACAGAAAUACAGUACCUGUAUUCAAAUUCAAUCUCUGACACUGCUUGUGGGAUCUUGGGAAAAUCGCCAAACCUCCCUGAACUUCAGUUUUCUCUUCUGUAAAAGGAGUGAGUUGGCAUAGAAGCCUCCGAGGUCCCUUCCAGCCCUAAAUCUACGACUGACUCACUUGAUAUCAUAAGGCAGGUGGUGUCACGUACUACAGAGAGGUCAGGGAGGAUGUGGACAGAAAAAAGGUUGUAGGAUUUGAUGAUUCACACCCUUCAGUUGCUUGAAAAGUGAUAUUGCUCAGAGUGCGGAAGGAGACAGCGCCUCCAGACUACAAUUCCCAGAAUCCUUCGAGCUGCGGUUUAUCCCUGAGACCUGGCUUCAUUUCCCACAAACCCAUCCACAAAACCCCGUUGGGUCGGAGCCGCGGGGAUCCUCAAACCCUUUCGGGACUGGACGGCGCCUUGCAGGCUUCUCUAGGAAACGCAGUCCGGGCUGGUGACAGGUGGCGGCGCAGGCGCACGCGAGGUCUCGGUGGGCCUGCACUUGCCGCCCCUUUGUGUUCCCUUCCGCUCCUCGCCGCUAUUCCCGUCCCGGGACCCGCGACCCUCGCGCUUGUUGCGGCCAGGCUGGCUAGAGCCCAGAGCCCCGGAGGGAGGGACUCCAGGAGUCUUCAUUUCCUGCAAACAGCUGGGAAGCAAGCGGUGACCAUGAAGAGUUUGGCCAAGGCACUUGGGGAGAGAGAUCUCCCUAUUCAAGAUUUUGUGUCUCUCCAAGAGAAGCCCACAGAGGAGCUGGGAAGAUUAAUAUCUGGCCUGUCAAGAGCCAGAGCCCAGGUGAGUUGAGAGUUUCUUUCCCUUAUCCUAGGAAUUCUGAGUUUCCAGAAGGUAAAAACAUUUUCUUCCCUUCUCCUUAGCAAAAUUCUAUCCAGGAACAUGAGCCCAAAUUGUGCUCCUCCAGGAGACUAGAAUAUUUUUGUGUAAUAGAGUUUUCCAGUUAACCUAGUAAUUCUGUAGGAUAAGGCCAGAUUGUGGAG